Coffea arabica (coffee) is the source of this 564-nucleotide long non-coding RNA. RefSeq lists it as uncharacterized. Lineage: Eukaryota; Viridiplantae; Streptophyta; Magnoliopsida; Gentianales; Rubiaceae. The record is from RefSeq and is a predicted model, not a curated record.
UUUUCCAUAAACUCUCGACCAAAUAUGGAUUCCCCAAGCUGAAAUCGAUUCAUUCUCCCCUAACUCUAUGAAUAUAUGGGUUCAUGCUGCAUCAGCUAGUCAAAAAAUUGCUGCAGCAUCAUCAAGGGAUGGAUUGGCAUCUCCUACAUCUGUUGAGAUGCAAACAUAUAAGCCUCCCACUGCAGCAGGUUGUAUCUAACCAGUCCGUUGGUGGAAAUAAUACACCUAAUGAGAGCAAGGAUCUUCAUGACAAUGGAAAUGAAAAUGGCUAUUCAUUCAACCUUUUUGGUAGAUCAAUGAAUAUUACUGAAAUUUCCAACACUAGAGUCCAUGCCUUUGACUGACCGACAUUGGAGAUGAACAUGUCUUUUGUUCAUGCAGCUCACUUACAAGUUUUCUAUUUCUUUAUUUCAGUAGUCUUUUGUAAAAUGACCUUAAUUUGAUGUAAAAUUUGGGAUGCUAGACCCCUUAUAGAAACAUUUAUUUUGCGAUGUAAAACUUAUAUGACAUUUGGAGAUAAUUUGUGGUAUAUUGGCAUGCAGCUUCUAAUGCAAUUACAACUUU